This 614-nucleotide ribosomal RNA is filed under the name uncultured bacterium. RNAcentral's name for it is "bacterial SSU rRNA". The stretch from base 1 to 523 matches the Rfam family "Bacterial small subunit ribosomal RNA", at positions 338 to 873 of the family's 1533-position model. The record is from RNAcentral.
CCUACGGGAGGCAGCAGUGGGGAAUAUUGGACAAUGGGCGAAAGCCUGAUCCAGCAAUGCCGCGUGAGUGAUGAAGGCCUUAGGGUUGUAAAGCUCUUUUACCAGGGAUGAUAAUGACAGUACCUGGAGAAUAAGCUCCGGCUAACUCCGUGCCAGCAGCCGCGGUAAUACGGAGGGAGCUAGCGUUGUUCGGAAUUACUGGGCGUAAAGCGUACGUAGGCGGUUAUUCAAGUCAGAGGUGAAAGCCUGGAGCUCAACUCCAGAACUGCCUUUGAAACUAGAUAGCUAGAAUCUUGGAGAGGUGAGUGGAAUUCCGAGUGUAGAGGUGAAAUUCGUAGAUAUUCGGAAGAACACCAGUGGCGAAGGCGACUCACUGGACAAGUAUUGACGCUGAGGUACGAAAGCGUGGGGAGCAAACAGGAUUAGAUAACCCUGGUAGUCCACGCCGUAAACGAUGAUAACUAGCUGUUCGGGCUACUACGAGCUUGNGUGGCGCAGCUAACGCUAAUUAAGUUACUCCGCCGUAGGGGAGUACGGUCGACAAGAAUUAAAACGUACGAAAGUAGUAGUACGGACGUGUAGACGAGACGACGACGACGACGACGGAGGAGGAG